RNAcentral lists this ribosomal RNA (253 nucleotides) under uncultured bacterium. Its description in RNAcentral is "partial 16S ribosomal RNA". It matches the Rfam family "Bacterial small subunit ribosomal RNA", at positions 524 to 776 of the family's 1533-position model. The record is from RNAcentral.
UACAGAGGGGGCAAGCGUUAUCCGGAAUUAUUGGGCGUAAAGGGCGCGUAGGCGGCCUGGCAAGUGGAAGGUGAAAUCCCUCGGCUUAACCGAGGAACUGCCCUCCAAACUGCUUGGCUUGAGUCCGGGAGAGGUGAGUGGAAUUCCCAGUGUAGCGGUGAAAUGCGUAGAUAUUGGGAGGAACACCAGUGGCGAAGGCGGCUCACUGGACCGGAACUGACGCUGAGGCGCGAAAGCGUGGGGAGCAAACGGG